GAGUUUGAUCCUGGCUCAGGACGAACGCUGGCGGCACGCUUAACACAUGCAAGUCGAACGGAGAAUUUUGGUUUUUAAUUAAAAUUCUUAGUGGCGGACGGGUGAGUAACACGUGAGCAACCUGCCUCUGAGAGAGGGAUAGCUUCUGGAAACGGAUGGUAAUACCUCAUAACAUAGCUGAAGGGCAUCCUUUGGUUAUCAAAGAUUUAUCACUCAGAGAUGGGCUCGCGUCUGAUUAGCUAGUUGGUGAGGUAACGGCCUACCAAAGCGACGAUCAGUAGCCGACCUGAGAGGGUGACCGGCCACAUUGGGACUGAGACACGGCCCAAACUCCUACGGGAGGCAGCAGUGGGGAAUAUUGCACAAUGGGGGAAACCCUGAUGCAGCGACGCCGCGUGAGCGAAGAAGUAUUUCGGUAUGUAAAGCUCUAUCAGCAGGGAAGAAUUCAUGACGGUACCUGACUAAGAAGCACCGGCUAAAUACGUGCCAGCCGCCGCGGUAAUUC
Molecule: ribosomal RNA, 505 nt
Filed under: uncultured bacterium
Lineage: Bacteria
Description: bacterial SSU rRNA
Rfam family: Bacterial small subunit ribosomal RNA
Source: RNAcentral